This 253-nucleotide ribosomal RNA is filed under the name uncultured bacterium. Its description in RNAcentral is "partial 16S ribosomal RNA". It matches the Rfam family "Bacterial small subunit ribosomal RNA", at positions 524 to 776 of the family's 1533-position model. The record is from RNAcentral.
UACGUAGGGGGCUAGCGUUGUCCGGAUUUAUUGGGCGUAAAGAGCGUGUAGGCGGCCAGGUAGGUCUGCUGUGAAAACUCGAGGCUCAACCUCGAGACGUCGGCGGAAACCAUCUGGCUAGAGUCCGGAAGAGGAGAGUGGAAUUCCUAGUGUAGAGGUGAAAUUCGUAGAUAUUAGGAAGAACACCAGUGGCGAAGGCGGCUCACUGGCCCGGUACUGACGCUGAGGCGCGAAAGCGUGGGGAGCAAACAGG